Molecule: transfer RNA, 69 nt
Filed under: Euphausia pacifica (North Pacific krill)
Lineage: Eukaryota; Metazoa; Arthropoda; Malacostraca; Euphausiacea; Euphausiidae
Description: tRNA-Lys
Source: RNAcentral
CACUAAAUGACUGAAAGCAAGUGUAAGUCUUUUAAACUUAUAAUGGUAGAUAGCAACUACCUUUAGUGA